GUGCUUACCUUGGUAGCACAUAUACUAAAAGUGGAACCAUACAGAGAAGAUUAGCAUGGCCCCUGCACAAAGCUGACAUACAAAUAUGUGAUGUGCUCCAUGUUUUU
RNAcentral lists this small nuclear RNA (107 nucleotides) under Dasypus novemcinctus (nine-banded armadillo). The record is from RNAcentral. Lineage: Eukaryota; Metazoa; Chordata; Mammalia; Cingulata; Dasypodidae.